AAACAAUUUACAUCAACAGAUCAAUCUUAAUUGUGUAAUUAUUGUAACUUCUUUUGCAGAUUGAUUUACAACUGGCACAUAUAAGUUGACAGUUAAUGCAUAAAGAGUGUAGUUUCUAUGAUAUGAGGUCUACACAAUUAAAUGUAAGUAUUAAUUGUAUUAUAAUGAAUGAUUCCCUUCAGUUCUAUAUUUUAUAUACCAUUUUCUAUAAUCUUUAUCUGUUUUGCUCAUUAUUCUCUAUUCUUUGUAUUUUAACACACCAUCAUUCUCUUUUAUUAUCAGUCUUUUCUUAAUCUUUAAUGUCUCAGCCUUUAAAUUUUGCACUUUUGCCCAUAGGGAUUAUAACAUGAUUGGUGUAUCUAUUCUGUAAACACCAUCCAGACCCUCAGUUUAUGUGAAUAUAUAUAAGUUAUCUGGUGUAUUUAGUCACACUAACCCAAUCUUGAUUAAGUCAUAUUGAUUAUUAAUAACAAAUUUGCAAAGCAAUGUGAUGGGUAAAUAUCAGUUAAAGUAAGUUGUACUUACAAACUUUAUUGUACUUUUACAGACAAUUCAUCAAUUAAACUUUGUGUCAAGUUUUCUUUUAAUUCAAUAAUAAUUAAGGAAUACACAAAUGUGACAAUUUUGACUGAAGUUUUCUAUUUGUAUCAUAAUAUGAAUACCAAUUACUUUUAAAUGCCAUUAAUGGUUUACAUAUUUUUUUCAGUACAUGCAUGAAGAUGACUUGGAGGCAAUGGUGUCAUACAUGUUAGUUUUAACUAUAAUAGCCUAACUGAAAUUUGAAAAAAGUUAUCAGAGGAAAAGAGUGACCACUUCUUUCUUAUGAAGAUCAACACACACAAGGAAAUUAUCAGACAAUUUGUAACCAGAUAUGGGGGCAGUUUUAGAUAUAUAUGCAUGAAAAGAAAGUGAAAUCAAUGUUUUUUUAGAUAAAAGCUUGAUGAUAUAACACAAAUAUAACAGUGCUGAAUAUGAAAACCCCAUGCCAUGUCACAUGUAACUUUUGGAAUGCAGAGAUUUUCAGUAUUACAAUAAAAGGAAGGAUUUCAUUACUGUUAAAACUGACUCUGGAACAUUCAAGACAAAGAAAUAAAGAAAUAAAAACAUAAGAGGAAAUGACUGUGCACUUCUUUUUUGAAGGAUCAACACACAAAAGGAAAUUUUCAUAUCAUUAUGCAUCAUGUGCAGUAGUUGAGAUAAUUUUGGAUAUAUACAUAAAACUGUGAACUAAGUGAUAAUUAUAAUUCAAACAUCAUAUGUGGUACCUGCAUGUACUUACUGGUAUAUAUAUUGUAAUUCACAACAUUUUA
RNAcentral lists this long non-coding RNA (1310 nucleotides) under Mytilus galloprovincialis (Mediterranean mussel). The record is from RNAcentral. Lineage: Eukaryota; Metazoa; Mollusca; Bivalvia; Mytilida; Mytilidae.